GUGCUCACUUCGGCAGCAAAUAUACUAAAAUUGGAAUGAUACAGAGAAGAUGAGCAUGGUUCCUGCACAAGGAUGACAUGCAAAUUUGUGAAGCGUUCUGUAUUUUU
Molecule: small nuclear RNA, 107 nt
Organism: Cercocebus atys (sooty mangabey)
Lineage: Eukaryota; Metazoa; Chordata; Mammalia; Primates; Cercopithecidae
Source: Ensembl